UUGUGUUACAGUUUCAAGAACAUGAUGAAUAUUCCUCUGAUGAUAUUUUUACUGUUAAUCAAGUGCCCUGUUGCUAGUUGUGGUCAUCAUUUUGACAGCAGUGACUCAGACAGUGAGGAGAGAUUCUUUCCUCGCCCAAUCCCUACAUUUUCCUGGCUUUGGCCAAGACCAUUGCUUCCCCGGCCACCUUACCCUUUCUGGCCCCUCUUUCCUGGUGUCUGGCCACAGCCAGCACCUCCUCCUGCUCCUCCUCCUGGACCCGCUCCUGGACCCGCUCCUGGACCCGCUCCUGGACCCACUCCUGGACCCG
This is a long non-coding RNA of Myripristis murdjan (pinecone soldierfish), 310 nucleotides long. RefSeq lists it as uncharacterized. NCBI's taxonomy places the organism in Eukaryota, Metazoa, Chordata, Actinopteri, Holocentriformes, Holocentridae. The transcript is spliced from 3 exons. The record is from RefSeq and is a predicted model, not a curated record.